GAUGAACGCUGGCGGCGUGCCUAAUACAUGCAAGUCGAGCGAACGGACGAGAAGCUUGCUUCUCUGAUGUUAGCGGCGGACGGGUGAGUAACACGUGGAUAACCUACCUAUAAGACUGGGAUAACUUCGGGAAACCGGAGCUAAUACCAGAUAAUAUUUUGAACCGCAUGGUUCAAAAGUGAAAGACGGUCUUGCUGUCACUUAUAGAUGGAUCCGCGCUGCAUUAGCUAGUUGGUAAGGUAACGGCUUACCAAGGCAACGAUGCGUAGCCGACCUGAGAGGGUGAUCGGCCACACUGGAACUGAGACACGGUCCAGACUCCUACGGGAGGCAGCAGUAGGGAAUCUUCCGCAAUGGGCGAAAGCCUGACGGAGCAACGCCGCGUGAGUGAUGAAGGUCUUCGGAUCGUAAAACUCUGUUAUUAGGGAAGAACAUAUGUGUAAGUAACUGUGCACAUCUUGACGGUACCUAAUCAGAAAGCCACGGCUAACUACGUG
RNAcentral lists this ribosomal RNA (497 nucleotides) under uncultured bacterium. Its description in RNAcentral is "partial 16S ribosomal RNA". It matches the Rfam family "Bacterial small subunit ribosomal RNA", at positions 28 to 507 of the family's 1533-position model. The record is from RNAcentral.